This 2802-nucleotide ribosomal RNA is filed under the name Escherichia coli. RNAcentral describes it as "bacterial LSU rRNA". It matches the Rfam family "Bacterial large subunit ribosomal RNA". Lineage: Bacteria; Pseudomonadati; Pseudomonadota; Gammaproteobacteria; Enterobacterales; Enterobacteriaceae. The record is from RNAcentral.
GGGUUGUGAGGUUAAGCGACUAAGCGUACACGGUGGAUGCCCUGGCAGUCAGAGGCGAUGAAGGACGUGCUAAUCUGCGAUAAGCGUCGGUAAGGUGAUAUGAACCGUUAUAACCGGCGAUUUCCGAAUGGGGAAACCCAGUGUGUUUCGACACACUAUCAUUAACUGAAUCCAUAGGUUAAUGAGGCGAACCGGGGGAACUGAAACAUCUAAGUACCCCGAGGAAAAGAAAUCAACCGAGAUUCCCCCAGUAGCGGCGAGCGAACGGGGAGCAGCCCAGAGCCUGAAUCAGUGUGUGUGUUAGUGGAAGCGUCUGGAAAGGCGCGCGAUACAGGGUGACAGCCCCGUACACAAAAAUGCACAUGCUGUGAGCUCGAUGAGUAGGGCGGGACACGUGGUAUCCUGUCUGAAUAUGGGGGGACCAUCCUCCAAGGCUAAAUACUCCUGACUGACCGAUAGUGAACCAGUACCGUGAGGGAAAGGCGAAAAGAACCCCGGCGAGGGGAGUGAAAAAGAACCUGAAACCGUGUACGUACAAGCAGUGGGAGCACGCUUAGGCGUGUGACUGCGUACCUUUUGUAUAAUGGGUCAGCGACUUAUAUUCUGUAGCAAGGUUAACCGAAUAGGGGAGCCGAAGGGAAACCGAGUCUUAACUGGGCGUUAAGUUGCAGGGUAUAGACCCGAAACCCGGUGAUCUAGCCAUGGGCAGGUUGAAGGUUGGGUAACACUAACUGGAGGACCGAACCGACUAAUGUUGAAAAAUUAGCGGAUGACUUGUGGCUGGGGGUGAAAGGCCAAUCAAACCGGGAGAUAGCUGGUUCUCCCCGAAAGCUAUUUAGGUAGCGCCUCGUGAAUUCAUCUCCGGGGGUAGAGCACUGUUUCGGCAAGGGGGUCAUCCCGACUUACCAACCCGAUGCAAACUGCGAAUACCGGAGAAUGUUAUCACGGGAGACACACGGCGGGUGCUAACGUCCGUCGUGAAGAGGGAAACAACCCAGACCGCCAGCUAAGGUCCCAAAGUCAUGGUUAAGUGGGAAACGAUGUGGGAAGGCCCAGACAGCCAGGAUGUUGGCUUAGAAGCAGCCAUCAUUUAAAGAAAGCGUAAUAGCUCACUGGUCGAGUCGGCCUGCGCGGAAGAUGUAACGGGGCUAAACCAUGCACCGAAGCUGCGGCAGCGACGCUUAUGCGUUGUUGGGUAGGGGAGCGUUCUGUAAGCCUGCGAAGGUGUGCUGUGAGGCAUGCUGGAGGUAUCAGAAGUGCGAAUGCUGACAUAAGUAACGAUAAAGCGGGUGAAAAGCCCGCUCGCCGGAAGACCAAGGGUUCCUGUCCAACGUUAAUCGGGGCAGGGUGAGUCGACCCCUAAGGCGAGGCCGAAAGGCGUAGUCGAUGGGAAACAGGUUAAUAUUCCUGUACUUGGUGUUACUGCGAAGGGGGGACGGAGAAGGCUAUGUUGGCCGGGCGACGGUUGUCCCGGUUUAAGCGUGUAGGCUGGUUUUCCAGGCAAAUCCGGAAAAUCAAGGCUGAGGCGUGAUGACGAGGCACUACGGUGCUGAAGCAACAAAUGCCCUGCUUCCAGGAAAAGCCUCUAAGCAUCAGGUAACAUCAAAUCGUACCCCAAACCGACACAGGUGGUCAGGUAGAGAAUACCAAGGCGCUUGAGAGAACUCGGGUGAAGGAACUAGGCAAAAUGGUGCCGUAACUUCGGGAGAAGGCACGCUGAUAUGUAGGUGAAGCGACUUGCUCGUGGAGCUGAAAUCAGUCGAAGAUACCAGCUGGCUGCAACUGUUUAUUAAAAACACAGCACUGUGCAAACACGAAAGUGGACGUAUACGGUGUGACGCCUGCCCGGUGCCGGAAGGUUAAUUGAUGGGGUUAGCGCAAGCGAAGCUCUUGAUCGAAGCCCCGGUAAACGGCGGCCGUAACUAUAACGGUCCUAAGGUAGCGAAAUUCCUUGUCGGGUAAGUUCCGACCUGCACGAAUGGCGUAAUGAUGGCCAGGCUGUCUCCACCCGAGACUCAGUGAAAUUGAACUCGCUGUGAAGAUGCAGUGUACCCGCGGCAAGACGGAAAGACCCCGUGAACCUUUACUAUAGCUUGACACUGAACAUUGAGCCUUGAUGUGUAGGAUAGGUGGGAGGCUUGGAAGUGUGGACGCCAGUCUGCAUGGAGCCGACCUUGAAAUACCACCCUUUAAUGUUUGAUGUUCUAACGUGGACCCGUAAUCCGGGUUGCGGACAGUGUCUGGUGGGUAGUUUGACUGGGGCGGUCUCCUCCUAAAGAGUAACGGAGGAGCACGAAGGUUGGCUAAUCCUGGUCGGACAUCAGGAGGUUAGUGCAAUGGCAUAAGCCAGCUUGACUGCGAGCGUGACGGCGCGAGCAGGUGCGAAAGCAGGUCAUAGUGAUCCGGUGGUUCUGAAUGGAAGGGCCAUCGCUCAACGGAUAAAAGGUACUCCGGGGAUAACAGGCUGAUACCGCCCAAGAGUUCAUAUCGACGGCGGUGUUUGGCACCUCGAUGUCGGCUCAUCACAUCCUGGGGCUGAAGUAGGUCCCAAGGGUAUGGCUGUUCGCCAUUUAAAGUGGUACGCGAGCUGGGUUUAGAACGUCGUGAGACAGUUCGGUCCCUAUCUGCCGUGGGCGCUGGAGAAUUGAGGGGGGCUGCUCCUAGUACGAGAGGACCGGAGUGGACGCAUCACUGGUGUUCGGGUUGUCAUGCCAAUGGCACUGCCCGGUAGCUAAAUGCGGAAGAGAUAAGUGCUGAAAGCAUCUAAGCACGAAACUUGCCCCGAGAUGAGUUCUCCCUGAC